This 467-nucleotide ribosomal RNA is filed under the name uncultured bacterium. RNAcentral describes it as "partial 16S ribosomal RNA". It matches the Rfam family "Bacterial small subunit ribosomal RNA", at positions 28 to 507 of the family's 1533-position model. The record is from RNAcentral.
GAUGAACGCUGGCGGCGUGCUUAACACAUGCAAGUCGAACGAUGAAGCCCAGCUUGCUGGGUGGAUUAGUGGCGAACGGGUGAGUAACACGUGAGUAACCUGCCCUUAACUCUGGGAUAAGCCUGGGAAACUGGGUCUAAUACCGGAUAGGAGCGCCUACCGCAUGGUGGGUGUUGGAAAGAUUUAUCGGUUUUGGAUGGACUCGCGGCCUAUCAGCUUGUUGGUGAGGUAAUGGCUCACCAAGGCGACGACGGGUAGCCGGCCUGAGAGGGUGACCGGCCACACUGGGACUGAGACACGGCCCAGACUCCUACGGGAGGCAGCAGUGGGGAAUAUUGCACAAUGGGCGAAAGCCUGAUGCAGCGACGCCGCGUGAGGGAUGACGGCCUUCGGGUUUGUAAACCUCUUUCAGUAGGGAAGAAGCGAAAGUGACGGUACCUGCAGAAGAAGCACCGGCUAACUACGUG